CAGAGUUGCAAAACUCCCAAACCAUCGUGAACGCUACCUAUAUCGUUGCUUCGGCGGGCGGCGCGCGCCGCCCCCGCCGGAGGCCUACCAAACUCUUGAAUUUUCGUGGCCUCUCUGAGUCUUCUGUAUAUGAAUAAGUCA
Molecule: unclassified non-coding RNA, 141 nt
Filed under: uncultured Chaetomium
Lineage: Eukaryota; Fungi; Ascomycota; Sordariomycetes; Sordariales; Chaetomiaceae
Description: sequence contains ITS1
Source: RNAcentral